This is a long non-coding RNA of Cydia pomonella (codling moth), 1015 nucleotides long. RefSeq lists it as uncharacterized. The record is from RefSeq and is a predicted model, not a curated record. The transcript has 2 exons. NCBI's taxonomy places the organism in Eukaryota, Metazoa, Arthropoda, Insecta, Lepidoptera, Tortricidae.
GAGGUGUAUUCUCAAAGAAAACUUUGUAGCCACGUAAAUUUACUGCCAUCUUUCGACACGGAUUAAAACUUUUAAAACAACUUUUUACUUUGAUCCCUGUUCUUUUACUGAUAUGUGUUGAAUUUGUUAAAUAUCAAAAACGGCCAAGUGCGAGUCGGACUCGCGCAUGAAGGGUUCCGUACCAUUUAAGACGUAUUAAAAAAAAAUCUACUUGCUAGAUCUUGUUCAACAUUUUACCACUUUGGACACACAUUUUACCACUUCGGAACUGUUUCUCGCGCAAACUAUUCAGUUUAGAAAAAAAUGAUGUUAGGAACCUAAAUAUCAUUUUUGAAGACCUAUCCAUAGAUACCCCACACGUAUGGGUUUGAUGAAAAAAUUUUUUUUUUAAUUUAUUGACGUAUUAAAAAAAAACUAUUCACUAGAUCUCGUUCAAACCAAUUUUCGGUGGAAGUUUGCAUGGUAAUGUAUAUCAUAUAUUUUUUUUAGAUUUUUCAUUCUGUUAUUUUAGAAGUUACAGGGGGGGGGACACACAUUUUUUCACUUUGGAAGUGUCUCUCGCGCAAACUAUUCAGUUUAGAAAAAAAUGAUAUUAGAAACCUAAAUAUCAUUUUUGAAGACCUAUCCAUAGAUACCCCACACGUAUGGGUUUGAUGAAAAAUUUUUUUUUUUUAAAUUUUUAUGACGUAUUAAAAAAAAACUACUUACUAGAUCUCGUUCGAACCAAUUUUCGGUGGAAGUUUGCAUGGCAAUGUAUAUCAUAUAUUUUUUUUAGAUUUUUCAUUCUGUUAUUUUAGAAGUUACAGGGGGGGGGGACACACAUUUUUUUCACUUUGGAAGUGUCUCUCGCGCAAACUAUUCAGUUUAGAAAAAAAUGAUAUUAGAAACCUAAAUAUCAUUUUUGAAGACCUAUCCAUAGAUACCCCACACGUAUGGGUUUGAUGAAAAAAAUUUUUUUUUUAAAUUUUUAUGACGUAUUAAAAAAAAACUACUUACUAGAUCUCGUUCGAACCAA